CCUACGGGAGGCAGCAGUCGGGAAUAUUGCGCAAUGGAGGAAACUCUGACGCAGUGACGCCGCGUGCAGGAAGAAGGUUUUCGGAUUGUAAACUGCUUUAGACAGGGAAGAAACAAGACAGUACCUGUAAAAUAAGCUCCGGCUAACUACGUGCCAGCAGCAGCGGUAAUACGUCUGGCGCAAUCGUUAUACGGAUGUAUUUGGGGGAAAGGGUGCGUAGGCGGGGAGUCAAGUUGGUUGUGAAAUCCCUCGGCUUAACUGAGGAACUGCAACCAAAAGUAACUUUCUUGAGUGCUGGAGAGGAAAGUGGAAUUCCUGGUGUAGCGGUGAAAUGCGUAGAUAUUAGGAGGAACACCAGUGGCGAAGGCGACUUUCUGGACAGUAACUGACGUUGAGGCACGAAAGUGUGGGGAGCAAACAGGAUUAGAUACCCGGGUAGUC
Molecule: ribosomal RNA, 441 nt
Filed under: uncultured bacterium
Lineage: Bacteria
Description: partial 16S ribosomal RNA
Rfam family: Bacterial small subunit ribosomal RNA
Source: RNAcentral